This 113-nucleotide non-coding RNA is filed under the name Paenibacillus bovis. RNAcentral describes it as "Glycine sequence". It matches the Rfam family "Glycine riboswitch aptamer". From Rfam's summary of the family: This family represents the bacterial glycine riboswitch. Glycine riboswitches usually consist of two metabolite-binding aptamers domains with similar structures in tandem. The aptamers cooperatively bind glycine to regulate the expression of downstream genes. Lineage: Bacteria; Bacillati; Bacillota; Bacilli; Caryophanales; Paenibacillaceae. The record is from Rfam by way of RNAcentral.
AUGAAGAUAGCGGGAGAGUCUGCGGAUGUAUGCGAUCCGCCACCGAAGGAGCAAGCCGGCGGGAAUGCCAGCCCCCGGUCAAUCUCUCAGGUACCAUGAACCGCUGCCGGACG